This 459-nucleotide ribosomal RNA is filed under the name uncultured bacterium. Its description in RNAcentral is "partial 16S ribosomal RNA". It matches the Rfam family "Bacterial small subunit ribosomal RNA", at positions 28 to 507 of the family's 1533-position model. The record is from RNAcentral.
GACGAACGCUGGCGGCGUGCUUAACACAUGCAAGUCGAACGGAAAGGCCCUGCUUGCAGGGUACUCGAGUGGCGAACGGGUGAGUAACACGUGGGUGAUCUGCCCUGCACUUCGGGAUAAGCCUGGGAAACUGGGUCUAAUACCGGAUAGGAGCCAUUUUUAGUGUGAUGGUUGGAAAGUUUUUUCGGUGUUGGAUGAGCCCGCGUCCUAUCAGCUUGUUGGUGGGGUAAUGGCCUACCAAGGCGGCGACGGGUAGCCGGCCUGAGAGGGUGGACGGCCACACUGGGACUGAGACACGGCGCAGACUCCUACGGGAGGCAGCGGUGGGGAAUAUUGGACGAGGGGCGAGAGCCUGAUCCAGCAGGGCCGCGUGAGUGAUGAAGGCCUUAGGGUUGUAAAGCUCUUUUACCCGGGAUGAUAAUGACAGUACCGGGAGAAUAAGCGCCGGCUAACUCCGUG